GCGGAGCUUCCACAGAUUCAAUAACAUUAGCAAGUGGUGGAAGCCAGCAGGUGGAUGAAGGAAAAGGGAGGCAAGAGGAGAGACCCGAAACGGCCGCCGGUCCGCGUGUCAGGUGAACUGAACUUCAGAAACCACACACACACACGCAAUACAAAGACUGAGAACUUUAUUCCUGGACUCUGCCUGUUUGUUCUUCCCACAUCUGAACAUUUGCAAGUGUUCUGACCCGACACUCUGAAGUGAUUGCUGCCAGCUCAGAUUUCUUUAACCCUUCUAAACAUUUGGUCCUUCGAGCCGGAUGUUGAGCAACUGCUUCAGCCUUAUAUGUUCAGGAUGGAAGACCGAUAUCCAUACAGAGAGUCUGACCGCCCACGCAGACAUAGCAAGCUGCCAUCAUACCUCCAGAAUUAUGAAGUGGACGACUUCGCUAAGAACCGACUCUCUUAUGAUGAUCAGGGCAAGCAUUCUACUCAUCCUGAAAUUCUCCAAUAUAUUCAUCAUAUGAAAGAGGAACACAAUCAGCUCCGACUAGAUGUGCAACGCCUGACAGAACUGAUCUCUAGCUCUCCUGUACUAGCUCCACAGCAUGCCACGACACGGUCUGGACAUUGUGAGGAUGUGACAUCAACCACACCUGCCCACACUAGUAAGCUGGUGCCAAUCAGAGGGCAGAAGAGCCCACAUCAGCCUGAAAGUGCUCCACAGGUGCCAUUUGGGGAUGAGUCUCAACAUCCAAAGGACAGCCAGCAGGGCCUGAUCGAGGAGCUCACGCACAGUCUAAAUGAAGCAGAUCUUGACAGGGAGUGCAGCGCACAGUCACCAUCACCUUCGGUUGACUCAUGCCCUGAAUCUCAAGAUUUUCUUCCACCAAUGACACCAGGUGAGAGGCCCCCUUCACUUCAAGCUUCGGCAGCAAGGGGACGGUCACCGUAUUAUGCAGGACAAAGAAGGGUUGAUGAGGUGUAUGCUCGUCGCCACAGGAACUACAGUCAGCCUGCCACUUCUCCUAGAUUGCCAAGGCUAGGGGCCGGCUAUGAAGAUGACCCAUACUACAGACAAGAUGACAGGUAUCCUACCCCUGGUCACCCAAGCUGCCCUGACAGUCACUAUCGUUCUCCUUAUGGAUAUGGGUAUCAGGAUUCGAGUCAUCCGUACAGGCGCUGUGGUAACUACCCAGAUGACCGCCGACAGUGUCCACCCGAUCGUCUGCAACCAGGUGGGUGCCCUCAGACACCACUCUCUCUCAGCAGAGCCCAACCAAUAGAGACUUAUCGUGGACCUCAACCAACGAUCCCUGACUUUGUGCACGAGGACCCACGUGAGUUUGCAAGAUUAAAGUUAGCUCUAGAUAACAUACUUCCACUUGAUGCUCCUGAACACUUCAAGUUCCAGAUCUUGACAGAUCACCUUAAGUGUGAAGAUGCACUACUUGUAGCUGACUCAUACAGUAACAGUCCAUUCCCAUUUGCUGACACCAUGAGAGCACUUACAGAAAUGUAUGGGCAACCUCAACAUCUGGCCUUAAAAAGGAUUACCAAACUGAUGGAUGGACCCAACAUUAGGAGUGGUGACAUCAGAGCCUUCAAGUCUUUUGCCCUCCAAGUCCGUGCGCUAGUGGGGAUGCUACACCAGUUGGGAGAACAAGGUCGGACAGAGUUGAGGUGUGGCUCACAUGUAUCUCGCCUCUUAGCUAAGUUACCUUAUGACCUAAGAGCAAAUUUCCAGAGAUUUGUUAAUCCC
Oreochromis aureus is the source of this 1740-nucleotide long non-coding RNA. NCBI's taxonomy places the organism in Eukaryota, Metazoa, Chordata, Actinopteri, Cichliformes, Cichlidae. The record is from Ensembl.